RNAcentral lists this ribosomal RNA (570 nucleotides) under uncultured bacterium. RNAcentral's name for it is "partial 16S ribosomal RNA". It matches the Rfam family "Bacterial small subunit ribosomal RNA", at positions 355 to 919 of the family's 1533-position model. The record is from RNAcentral.
UGGGGAAUUUUGGACAAUGGGCGAAAGCCUGAUCCAGCAAUGCCGCGUGUGUGAAGAAGGCCUUCGGGUUGUAAAGCACUUUUGUCCGGAAAGAAAUCCUUGGCUCUAAUACAGUCGGGGGAUGACGGUACCGGAAGAAUAAGCACCGGCUAACUACGUGCCAGCAGCCGCGGUAAUACGUAGGGUGCAAGCGUUAAUCGGAAUUACUGGGCGUAAAGCGUGCGCAGGCGGUUUGCUAAGACCGAUGUGAAAUCCCCGGGCUCAACCUGGGAACUGCAUUGGUGACUGGCAGGCUAGAGUAUGGCAGAGGGGGGUAGAAUUCCACGUGUAGCAGUGAAAUGCGUAGAGAUGUGGAGGAAUACCGAUGGCGAAGGCAGCCCCCUGGGCCAAUACUGACGCUCAUGCACGAAAGCGUGGGGAGCAAACAGGAUUAGAUACCCUGGUAGUCCACGCCCUAAACGAUGUCAACUAGUUGUUGGGGAUUCAUUUCCUUAGUAACGUAGCUAACGCGUGAAGCUGACCGCCUGGGGAGUACGUCGCAAGAUUAAAACUCAAAGGAAUUGACGGGGU